GACGAACGCUGGCGGCGUGCCUAACACAUGCAAGUCGAACGGAACUGUUUUGAAAGAUUUCUUCGGAAUGAAUUUGAUUUAGUUUAGUGGCGGACGGGUGAGUAACGCGUGAGUAACCUGCCUUCAAGAGGGGGAUAACAUUCUGAAAAGAAUGCUAAUACCACAUGAUAUAUCGGAACCACAUGGUUCUGAUAUCAAAGAUUUUAUCGCUUGAAGAUGGACUCGCGUCCGAUUAGUUAGUUGGUGAGGUAACGGCUCACCAAGACCGCGAUCGGUAGCCGGACUGAGAGGUUGAACGGCCACAUUGGGACUGAGACACGGCCCAGACUCCUACGGGAGGCAGCAGUGGGGGAUAUUGCGCAAUGGGGGCAACCCUGACGCAGCAAUGCCGCGUGAAGGAUGAAGGUUUUCGGAUUGUAAACUUC
RNAcentral lists this ribosomal RNA (425 nucleotides) under uncultured bacterium. RNAcentral describes it as "bacterial SSU rRNA". It matches the Rfam family "Bacterial small subunit ribosomal RNA", at positions 28 to 433 of the family's 1533-position model. The record is from RNAcentral.